CCCACUACCUUUCCCGUUGCCUGGAAAUUUUCUAUGCAGAUUUCAAAAUUUCGGACGAACGUUAAGUGAACUUUCCGAAUUUCUUCCAAACCGUACAAGCGAUCCACUACGGCAUUUAGAAUCUGCGAGCAUCACAUAUUCAUCUGAACUAGGAGUGAAAUGCAGACGCAUGAACCUUAUUCGCUGGCGUUAUUACAGCGUCGAAAAACCCUUAUUU
This 217-nucleotide long non-coding RNA is filed under the name Spirodela polyrhiza (greater duckweed). Its description in RNAcentral is "long non-coding RNA (SPOL_LNC000904)". Lineage: Eukaryota; Viridiplantae; Streptophyta; Magnoliopsida; Alismatales; Araceae. The record is from RNAcentral.